AGUGAACGCUGGCGGUAGGCCUAACACAUGCAAGUCGAACGGCAGCACAGUAAGAGCUUGCUCUUACGGGUGGCGAGUGGCGGACGGGUGAGGAAUACAUCGGAAUCUACUUUUUCGUGGGGGAUAACGUAGGGAAACUUACGCUAAUACCGCAUACGACCUACGGGUGAAAGCAGGGGAUCUUCGGACCUUGCGCGAUUGAAUGAGCCGAUGUCGGAUUAGCUAGUUGGCGGGGUAAAGGCCCACCAAGGCGACGAUCCGUAGCUGGUCUGAGAGGAUGAUCAGCCACACUGGAACUGAGACACGGUCCAGACUCCUACGGGAGGCAGCAGUGGGGAAUAUUGGACAAUGGGCGCAAGCCUGAUCCAGCCAUACCGCGUGGGUGAAGAAGGACUUAGGGUUGUAAAGCCCUUUUGUUGGGAAAGAAAAGCAGCAGGUUAAUACCCCGCUGUUCUGACGGUACCCAAAGAAUAAGCACCGGCUAACUUCGUG
RNAcentral lists this ribosomal RNA (492 nucleotides) under uncultured bacterium. RNAcentral's name for it is "partial 16S ribosomal RNA". It matches the Rfam family "Bacterial small subunit ribosomal RNA", at positions 29 to 507 of the family's 1533-position model. The record is from RNAcentral.